RNAcentral lists this unclassified non-coding RNA (314 nucleotides) under Hevea brasiliensis (rubber tree). The record is from RNAcentral. Lineage: Eukaryota; Viridiplantae; Streptophyta; Magnoliopsida; Malpighiales; Euphorbiaceae.
CGAUUCGACAUUUGGAAAUGAGUUCUUUUAUGGAUGUUUGUGCAACAGCACAAGAUUACGAUCAUGAUGAAAAGGGCUGAUUCAGACACAAGUAACAGAACGAGUACUACGACUCUCUAGACCUCUCAGUGUUCACUUCAAAUUCUUCAAGAGGCCCUACUCCAAGAAAAUCUAUAAAUGGUGGUGAUAUGGUGGUCUCAGAAUGUCUGGUUGCAUUGUUCUCUGCCGAUGAUAGCGAUGAUGAUGAAGAUGGUUCACUAGCUGAGACUUGGGAUGUUGGUGAUGCCAUGGAGUCUGAGAAGCCUGCAGAAAAG